This 559-nucleotide ribosomal RNA is filed under the name uncultured Paracoccaceae bacterium. Its description in RNAcentral is "bacterial SSU rRNA". It matches the Rfam family "Bacterial small subunit ribosomal RNA", at positions 339 to 916 of the family's 1533-position model. Lineage: Bacteria; Pseudomonadati; Pseudomonadota; Alphaproteobacteria; Rhodobacterales; Paracoccaceae. The record is from RNAcentral.
CUACGGGAGGCAGCAGUGGGGAAUCUUAGACAAUGGGCGCAAGCCUGAUCUAGCCAUGCCGCGUGUGUGAUGAAGGCCUUAGGGUCGUAAAGCACUUUCGCCAGAGAUGAUAAUGACAGUAUCUGGUAAAGAAACCCCGGCUAACUCCGUGCCAGCAGCCGCGGUAAUACGGAGGGGGUUAGCGUUGUUCGGAAUUACUGGGCGUAAAGCGCACGUAGGCGGACUGGAAAGUUGGGGGUGAAAUCCCAGGGCUCAACCCUGGAACUGCCUCCAAAACUACUAGUCUAGAGUUCGAGAGAGGUGAGUGGAAUUCCGAGUGUAGAGGUGAAAUUCGUAGAUAUUCGGAGGAACACCAGUGGCGAAGGCGGCUCACUGGCUCGAUACUGACGCUGAGGUGCGAAAGUGUGGGGAGCAAACAGGAUUAGAUACCCUGGUAGUCCACACCGUAAACGAUGAAUGCCAGUCGUCGGCAAGCAUGCUUGUCGGUGACACACCUAACGGAUUAAGCAUUCCGCCUGGGGAGUACGGUCGCAAGAUUAAAACUCAAAGGAAUUGACGG